RNAcentral lists this ribosomal RNA (192 nucleotides) under uncultured bacterium. RNAcentral's name for it is "partial 16S ribosomal RNA". It matches the Rfam family "Bacterial small subunit ribosomal RNA", at positions 1309 to 1500 of the family's 1533-position model. The record is from RNAcentral.
AACUCGCCUGCACGAAGUCGGAAUUGCUAGUAAUCGUAGGUCAGCAUACUACGGUGAAUACGUUCCCGGGCCUGUACACACCGCCCGUCACACCAUGAGAGUUGGGGAUACCCAAAGCCCGUGAGCCAACUUAUAAAGAGGCAGCGGUCUAAGGUAGAAUCAAUGAUUGGGGUGAAGUCGUAACAAGGUACC